GAUGAACGCUGGCGGCGUGCCUAAUACAUGCAAGUCGAGCGAACAGACGAGGAGCUUGCUCCUCUGACGUUAGCGGCGGACGGGUGAGUAACACGUGGAUAACCUACCUAUAAGACUGGGAUAACUUCGGGAAACCGGAGCUAAUACCGGAUAAUAUAUUGAACCGCAUGGUUCAAUAGUGAAAGACGGUUUUGCUGUCACUUAUAGAUGGAUCCGCGCCGCAUUAGCUAGUUGGUAUGGUAACGGCUUACCAAAGCAACGAUGCGUAGCCGACCUGAGAGGGUGAUCGGCCACACUGGAACUGAGACACGGUCCAGACUCCUACGGGAGGCAGCAGUAGGGAAUCUUCCGCAAUGGGCGAAAGCCUGACGGAGCAACGCCGCGUGAGUGAUGAAGGUCUUCGGAUCGUAAAACUCUGUUAUUAGGGAAGAACAAAUGUGUAAGUAACUAUGCACGUCUUGACGGUACCUAAUCAGAAAGCCACGGCUAACUACGUG
Molecule: ribosomal RNA, 497 nt
Filed under: uncultured bacterium
Lineage: Bacteria
Description: partial 16S ribosomal RNA
Rfam family: Bacterial small subunit ribosomal RNA
Source: RNAcentral